GGUCUUUGAUAACCUUUUUCUGCAAGGAAAAACAGCUCUUAGGUGUAUUUCAGAGCUUUAGUUUUGUUUGGGGAAAACUGGGAAAAGGUUGCAAGCAAGCAAAGCUACAGUUCGGCUAAAAACCAAAACCAAAAUGUCUGUUUCUGUCUCAGACGCGACAUCUUGCAAGAUGAGAGCAGCAGUGAAGACAUGUGAUCAUCCCAUCAAAACGCUCCACGUUUAGAUCUGUUUGAUAAAAGAAAGGGCGUGGAUUCAGGCAGUCACUCGUGCUAGGGUGUGCUAACCCCGUGGUAACGUGCAUACUGAUGAGUGAUGGAUUUAAAAUCAAACCAGAAGCAGUUGAACUUCUGUAGAAGGCCUGUUUGAGGUGGAAGGAUGAUGUAGUGACUUCUUACAAAGGGAGAUCAGAGCAGCUGUUUGCGGCUCUACUGAGGCUCUUUGAUCUGUAGGGGUAUCGCUUGUGGGCAUUCAAUGCAAAUGAAUGGAGUGGAACAGCAACAUGCUCUUGUCUUGGAUUAACCAGCAGAGUCAGAUGACACUGGCGAGCUCCAGCCAGCACUGAACUGUCGGAAGAGACGUCCUUUCCUGCACUGAAUGGGCACAAAAAAGAAGAACAAGCUAAAGAUUUGUGCUCUGCUGAAUAUUAACACGAGAAUGAGCCAAACCCCAAAGCAGGGUGUGUCCCAUCCUCUCUAUGAAUAAACGUCAAAGGAAAGUGUUUCAUGGUCAGCGGAGGUGAAGAUGGAUCAGAAUUCAAGAUGGACAGUAAAGUCUGGCUAAGAGACAUAAAUCAGAUCUCUGAAUAUGAGGAGGGGGGGGGGGGGGGGGAUUGGUAACGGGGCCCUAAACUGAUUUUAAAUGUUCAGUCAAACCUGCUGAACUCCACAGAAGUUAGAUGGACCAAAGCAAAAAUCCAACCUGCAAAUUAGAAGAGAUAUUAACAAUUAUUGAAAAUGUGGCAAAGAUGCAAAAAGGUUGCAUUUACUGUCAAAAAGGGAGCCCCUAUGUUAAUGAAAGCUGAGUUCAUGCGUGCUUAUACCGUUAAAGACAUUCUGUCUUGAAACCACGCCCCAGCCAAGAGACAGAACUCGAACCUCGAGCCUCCAUGUCCCUUUUGUUUACAGGAAGUCCCUCACUCGUCUCAUCUACUCUCUCUUAGGUUCAGCGAGUCCACGCCAGCACCCCUCCUGCAGCCACCACCAGCUACCUGAGCCAGCUCCGCCAGGCUAAAGCAACAGAGCAGCCAGUAACAGCACGUGUGUUUGGAGGAUACGGUUGAUCUGUCGGCUCAACGACCGCAACAAAUACAACAUCUGGUCGAACUGGGCCCAGUUAACAUGGCGCUGCAUGUAAACUCACACCCACGGGAAGCCUCAGCCAUGUCAAAAACAAACCUGUUGCUAGUGGCAACAGCGGAUAGAUUCACCAGAUCCUGCAACACUGCUGUCGGUGUGGAUAUUUCAACCAUCGAAGAGUCUCGUCACGGCCAUCGCAUCAUCUCGUUUUUAUUAAACGUCGUAGUUUUAGGAGCAGGACGCUCCUUUACUUAAUUCAUCUCUCGUCAUUAGAACUCAUUUUUGUUCCGUUUGUUUUGCGACGCCUUUAAGCCCCGGUGCAGAAACUGUUCCAUCAGAUGGUGCAAAGAUGCGUCUUGUUUCAAAUCAAAAUGGGUUCAUUCUGUUAAGUCCAGCCCUGUUGCCAUGGCACCCAAACACACCCCAGAGAUUAAUGAAGAGCUCGUGCCUGGUACUGGUGAUCCACACCGUGUCAGAUCAAGAGCUUUCAGACAGCAACCUUUAGAAAACAAGGAGAAAAAUCUGAACUUUUCACCCCAAAACAGAAAGGAAACAGAUUUUUCUUUGCCCAGAAAAAACGAUUUGUUAAGAAGUGAACAUGUUAAUCUCUGUGUGCGCUGAUUGUAUGUUAAACACGUCUGUUUUUACGGUGAAGGGGCAGAGGUUAGACUUUAUUUACACAUAUAUCAGGAUGAAUAAAGCUUGGCCUGAUGUACUAAUGAAGCACUAACAGCACUCAACUCCAUCCUACUGUGGAGGUAUCUGUGCCGCGGUCGGCUCGUCUGCGUCUGGAUCCUGAAAGAUGCACCACAGGAACACCCAGCCCACGUUACUGUCCAGCCUGCUGAUUCAGGACGCCCCCUCCCACGACCCCGUGUCAGCUGAACGGCCACAUAACAGCCCGUGACAACUUGAAUCAACUCAGAGCACACUGGCGUUGUAAAAAAAAGGUCAGAAAUGUGAUGAGGGAGAAGAUCGGGCAGCGAUACGGACACGCCUGGAGGAAAGAGAAGCUAACCGUUAGAAAAAAGGAACCAAACUGUAGUUUACACUACUGACAGGAAGCUGUUUGAGAUUUAUUUCUGUCUCGUCUAGUUUGUUUGUCAUUAAAAUGAUUAAUCGUGUCUUUGAAUGAUCAGGGCAAACUGAAAACAUGAGUUUUUUUUUUUUUUUUUUUUUUUUUUUUGUAUUUCAGCUAAUUUGUCUGUGUUUUUCGAGUCCACUGUGAGAACUUUUCUCUUUUGGUUUGCAGGCAUGCUCUGCCUCGUGUGUUUAACCUCUGAACAUGUCACUAGGCCCCAAACACAGCCUUCAAAAUAAAGGAACUGGAAUAAAAACGCUUGUGUCUA
Nothobranchius furzeri (turquoise killifish) is the source of this 2644-nucleotide non-coding RNA. The record is from RefSeq and is a predicted model, not a curated record. Lineage: Eukaryota; Metazoa; Chordata; Actinopteri; Cyprinodontiformes; Nothobranchiidae.